Molecule: ribosomal RNA, 404 nt
Filed under: uncultured bacterium
Lineage: Bacteria
Description: partial 16S ribosomal RNA
Rfam family: Bacterial small subunit ribosomal RNA
Source: RNAcentral
GACGAACGCUGGCGGUGUGCUUAACACAUGCAAGUCGAGCGGAGCGGCGAACGGGUGAGUAACGCGUGAGUAACUGCCCCCCUCCCUGGGAUAACAGUUGGAAACGGCUGCUAAUACCGGAUAGUGGGGGAUGACUCGCGUCCUAUCAGCUUGUUGGUGGGGUAGUGGCAUACCAAGGCGACGACGGGUAGCCGGCCUGGGAGGGGGACCGGCCACAUGAGUCUGAGGGACGGCCCAGACUCCUACGGGGGGCAGCAGGGGGGAAUAUUACACAAUGGGGGAAACCCUGAUGCAGCAACGCGCGUGCGGGAUGACGGCCUUCGGGGUGUAAACCGCUUUCAGCCAUGACGCGGUAGUGGCAGAAGAAGCACCGGCUAACUACGUGCCAGCAGCCGCGGUAAUUC